This 407-nucleotide ribosomal RNA is filed under the name uncultured bacterium. Its description in RNAcentral is "partial 16S ribosomal RNA". It matches the Rfam family "Bacterial small subunit ribosomal RNA", at positions 28 to 526 of the family's 1533-position model. The record is from RNAcentral.
GACGAACGCUGGCGGCGCGCUUAACACAUGCAAGUCGAGCGAAGCGGCGGACGGGUGAGUAACACGUGAGUAACCUGCCUUAGACAUUGGGAUAGCCUCGGGAAACCGGGAUUAAUACCAAAUGGUCUAAGAUGGACUCGCGUCCCAUUAGAUAGUUGGUGAGGUAACGGCCCACCAAGGCGACGAAGGGUAGCCGGCAGCAGAGGGUGGACGGCUACAUUGGAACUGUGAAACGGUCCAGACUCUACGGGAGGCAGCAGUGGGGGAUAUUGCAAAAUGGAGGGAACGCUGAUGCAGCGACGCCGCGUGAACGAAGAAGUCUUUCGAGUCGUAAAGUUCUUUUAUAUGGGAAGCGGUACCAUAAGAAAAAGCCCCGGCUAACUACGUGCCAGCAGCCGCGGUAAUAC